This 73-nucleotide transfer RNA is filed under the name Ixodes scapularis (black-legged tick). It matches the Rfam family "tRNA". Rfam says of the family: Transfer RNA (tRNA) molecules are approximately 80 nucleotides in length. The record is from Rfam by way of RNAcentral. Lineage: Eukaryota; Metazoa; Arthropoda; Arachnida; Ixodida; Ixodidae.
CCCUGGUUAGCUCAGUGGGUAGAGCGCUCCACCUGUAAUGGAGAGGUCUCGGGUUCGAUACCCGGACCAGGCG